Molecule: ribosomal RNA, 1498 nt
Filed under: uncultured bacterium
Lineage: Bacteria
Description: 16S ribosomal RNA
Rfam family: Bacterial small subunit ribosomal RNA
Source: RNAcentral
AGUUUGAUUCUGGCUCAGGAUGAACGCUGGCGGCAUGCCUAAUACAUGCAAGUCGAACGGAGUGAAGCCUUCGGGUUUCAUUCAGUGGCGAACGGGUGAGUAAUACGCAGGGAACCUGGCCAUGGCAGGGGGAUACACUCUGGAAACGGAGCAUAAGACCCCAUAGGCAGUAAGGCGGCAUCGCCUUACUGUUAAAGAAAGCUGAAAGGCUUUGGCGAUGGAUGGACCUGCGGUGCAUUAGCUUGUUGGUGAGGCAACGGCUUACCAAGGCGAUGAUGCAUAGCCGGCCUGAGAGGGCGGACGGCCACACUGGGACUGAGACACGGCCCAGACUCCUGCGGGAGGCAGCAGUAGGGAAUUUUCGUCAAUGGGCGCAAGCCUGAACGAGCAAUGCCGCGUGAGUGAGGAAGGUCUUCGGACUGUAAAGCUCUGUUGCCGGGGAAAAAGGGGAAAUGCAGGAAAUGGCAUUUCAUGGAUGGUACCCGGCCAGAAAGCCACGGCUAACUACGUGCCAGCAGCCGCGGUAAUACGUAGGUGGCGAGCGUUAUCCGGAAUGAUUGGGCGUAAAGGGUGCGCAGGCGGGUCUGUUAAGUCUGAAGGCAAAGGGAUGAGCUCAACUCAUUUAUGAUUCAGAAACUGGCAGACUUGAGGACAGGAGAGGGCGGUGGAACUCCAUGUGUAGCGGUAAAAUGCGCAGAGAUAUGGAAGAACACCAGUGGCGAAGGCGGCCGCCUGGCCUGUGACUGACGCUGAGGCACGAAAGCGUGGGGAGCAAAUAGGAUUAGAUACCCUAGUAGUCCACGCCGUAAACGAUGAGGAGCAGGUGUUGGGAGUGAAAUCUCAGUGCCGAAGCCAACGCAGUGACUCCUCCGCCUGGGGAGUAUGCACGCAAGUGUGAAACUCAAAGGAAUUGACGGGGGCCCGCACAAGCGGUGGAGUAUGUGGUUUAAUUCGAAGCAACGCGAAGAACCUUACCAGGUUUUGACAUCGGAUGCGAAGGUGCAGAGAUGCGCUGGAGGUUAACAUCCAGACAGGUGGUGCAUGGUUGUCGUCAGCUCGUGUCGUGAGAUGUUCAGUUAAGUCUGGCAACGAGCGCAACCCCCGUGGUAUGUUACUAACGCUUAGGGCGAGGACUCAUAUCAGACUGCCGGUGACAAACCGGAGGAAGGCGGGGAUGACGUCAAAUCAUCAUGCCCCUUAUGACCUGGGCUACACACGUACUACAAUGGCGUCUACAGAGGGAAGCGACCCUGAGAAGGGAAGCGAAACCGGAAAAGGGCGUCCCAGUUCGGAUUGAAGUCUGCAACCCGACUUCAUGAAGAUGGAAUCGCUAGUAAUCGCGGAUCAGCAUGCCGCGGUGAAUACGUUCCCGGGCCUUGUACACACCGCCCGUCAAACCAUGGAAGCCGGCAACGCCCGAAGCCGGUGGCAUAACCUUUUAGGAGUGAGCCGUCGAAGGCGGGGCCGAUGACUGGGGUUAAGUCGUAACAAGGUAGCC